GACGAACGCUGGCGGUAUGCUUAAUACAUGCAAGUCGAACGGAGUCCAAGGGAAGCUUGCUUCCCUGAAGACUUAGUGGCGGACGGGUGAGUAACGCGUGAGUAACCUGCCUUGGAGAGGGGGAUAACACAGAGAAAUCUGUGCUAAUACCGCAUAAUGUAUAUUUGCCGCAUGACAGAUAUACCAAAGGUCAGCCGCUCCAAGAUGGACUCGCGUCCGAUUAGGUAGUUGGUGAGGUAACGGCUCACCAAGCCGACGAUCGGUAGCCGGACUGAGAGGUCGAUCGGCCACAUUGGGACUGAGACACGGCCCAGACUCCUACGGGAGGCAGCAGUAGGGAAUAUUGCGCAAUGGGGGCAACCCUGACGCAGCAAUACCGCGUGAAGGAUGAAGGUUUUCGGAUUGUAAACUUCAGCAAGCAGGGAAGAAAAAAUGACGGUACCUAGAACAAAAGCCACGGCUAACUACGU
Molecule: ribosomal RNA, 470 nt
Filed under: uncultured bacterium
Lineage: Bacteria
Description: bacterial SSU rRNA
Rfam family: Bacterial small subunit ribosomal RNA
Source: RNAcentral